CGGGACCAGCACUCCACACAUUACAUCAAACUCUUACAAGUCUAGAAAAGGAGCUUUUGGACAGAAAGACAUCAACUCAGUAACCUGAGAUAUGACUGCACUAUGCUGUUGCUGGUGACCACAGUUAAUUCUACAAGACAUGCUGUGACACCAGGAGAGAUGAAUCCUCCGUCACAGAUGGUGUGGUCAGUGAAGAUGGUUGCCUGCAGGUUCAAGCUCAUUGCAUCUCCAACCCACAUCUACUGCCACUAUACAUAAGGGAAGUUAAAGACUUGCAUCACCUCCAUCCAUGAUAGUCAUUCAGGCAGUAAUGCCUGGA
Long non-coding RNA from Oreochromis aureus, 319 nucleotides. NCBI's taxonomy places the organism in Eukaryota, Metazoa, Chordata, Actinopteri, Cichliformes, Cichlidae. The record is from Ensembl.